GACGAACGCUGGCGGCGUGCUUAACACAUGCAAGUCGAACGGAAAGGCCCUGCUUUUGUGGGGUGCUCGAGUGGCGAACGGGUGAGUAACACGUGAGUAACCUGCCCUUGACUUUGGGAUAACUUCAGGAAACUGGGGCUAAUACCGGAUAGGAGCUCCUGCUGCAUGGUGGGGGUUGGAAAGUUUCGGCGGUUGGGGAUGGACUCGCGGCUUAUCAGCUUGUUGGUGGGGUAGUGGCUUACCAAGGCUUUGACGGGUAGCCGGCCUGAGAGGGUGACCGGCGACAUUGGGACUGAGAUACGGCGCAGACUCCUACGGGAGGCAGCGGUGGGGAAUAUUGCACAGUGGGCGGAAGCCUGAUGCGGCAACGCCGCGUGCGGGAUGACGGCCUUCGGGUUGUAAACCGCUUUCGCCUGUGACGAAGCGUGAGUGACGGUAAUGGGUAAAGAAGCACCGGCUAACUACGUG
This 468-nucleotide ribosomal RNA is filed under the name uncultured bacterium. Its description in RNAcentral is "partial 16S ribosomal RNA". It matches the Rfam family "Bacterial small subunit ribosomal RNA", at positions 28 to 507 of the family's 1533-position model. The record is from RNAcentral.